RNAcentral lists this unclassified non-coding RNA (2049 nucleotides) under Hevea brasiliensis (rubber tree). The record is from RNAcentral. Lineage: Eukaryota; Viridiplantae; Streptophyta; Magnoliopsida; Malpighiales; Euphorbiaceae.
GAUAAGCAUAAGCUCGAUAUAAUAAGGAAUAGAAGUCCAGACGCCAGACCGCCCCACUGCCCACUCCUGUAAUUUGCUCUGUGUAAUGAAGAUACCCGACAUUCCUAGUACGGCGCAAUAAAUCCCUCCCUCCAGAUUUAAGGUUACUGCUUCUGUGAGCACCCAUAAACACUUCGUUCUUUAAUCGCUUUUCCCCACAGAUUGGUGAGCUGGGCUUUUAUAGAUUAGAGGGAGGGAGGAUGAUGGCGGUUUCUGAUGCAGUGAUAGGGAAUUUAACGAUGAUCUAUGUCGCAAUUAUCGCGGGGAUUAAGGCUUAUGGGUUAGUCAUUGGGCGGAGCUUCAGUGGGGGAUUUGUAUUGGUUGUGUCCACCACCCUGGUGGGUUUAAUCUUGAUUGCGUCGCUCACUUGGGACUUGUCUCGAAAAGUUACGCACGCAAUAUCGCGAGAUCACAUUCAUGUCCACGAAAUGUGCAAGGGUGGUAUUUGUUGGCAUGGCGUUGCGGUUCGGUCUCCGGCUUCCCAGGUUUGCUUCAGGCUCCCUCAGCAUCAGCAACAUCACGACGGUCCAGCGUAAAAACUCAAGCUCAAAAAGAAAAUGAUGAAUAAGAAUAAUGGUUGUAGAACUGUAAGAUAGAAAAUCUCUUUUUGGUUGUUGGUGUUUCACGUUUGUAGCUGGGGCUUACGAUGCCUUUACGUUGGAAAAGGCAUCACCCAUGAGGUGUUUGCUUUUUUGUUUGAGAGGAAUAGAAAUUUGAUAAUGUAUGUAAAUAAUAAAAAGAGAAUGAUGUUUGUGCAUAAAUUAUGUCCCAGGCGUUUGGUUAAUCAUUUAGACUGUGCUGUGUCCAGUUGAUCUUUCAAGUCGUAGAGGUGAGAUGGGUGAUGGUUUUUGCAGUUUCAUCAAAUCUGGAUGCCAAAUUUAUUUGCAUGCAAUUUUGGACUGAAUUUUCAAGCACAAAGAUGGGGCUGAAGCCUGAAUUUCUAUUAUCUAUUUCUUGAAGAAGGGAUCAGGUCCAAUAGCUAACUUCUGAUCAUUUUGAAUCUUAGGUUAUUCAUUAAUUGAUUGAAUAAAUUAUAAAAUAAUAAGAUGACUUACAAUUUUCAAUUGCCCUUUUGGUUUUGCACCUGAGGGGGAAGUUUUUGAAGGUAGAGUAUGAGUUUUUAAAGUAAUGCUUCCAUAGAUGACUUUUGGCAGUAAGGUUUUGUAUUAAUGUUAAGGUUUUUGGAAAUGGAUGAGAAGGUUUUGAUAUACCGCAGCAAACAGAGUAUUGAAGUUAAUGACAAUCUAAUAAUUUUAAUUAGAUUAAGAACGGUGGUAAUGUAAGUACGAACUUGAAACGUGCUACGAAAUUGGCAGCUUUUGAAGACCGUCUUCAUCAUCCUUUGUCCAUCUUCUGGCCUAAGAAGGGUUGCUGAUAUUGGAAGAUAAUGCAAUUUACUUCUUCUGAACCAACUAAGCCAAGUCUUUCUGACUCAUGAUUGCUCUUCGGGGAGACUGAAUUAUCUUGAAGGUGCAUCUUUCCUAGAGGCAACGGUUGUUGGCGACUUGGCAGGGUGAGAACAAUGCAAGUCGGGUAUUAAAUGCAGCACCUUUCGCUUCCUGGAUAGUUUUUCCUUGUUUGGUCUGAGUGAACUGUGGCUCUGAUGGGAUCUUGUUGUUAAAUUCAUCUCCUGGUUGGUUUCUACAUUCUUUUAACCUGUGGACUGGAUUGAAAAGAAGUAUGUAUCAUCCAUCAAUGCUGAAUUUUCUGUGGCUUGAGUCAUAUGUGUUUUUGUUUUCUCUGUCGGUAUUUCUCUGUUAUGACUGGAAUAUCCAUUGCAGUGUCAGAAAGUGCUGAACAUAACAAGGAAAGAAAUGCUGGUGCUGCAAGUUACUGAGCUUUGAGCGAAAAUCAACCAGCUACACAUAGAAGGUGCUGGGUUUAUGUCUGUUUCAAGGUCUGCCUAGCAUUAUUAUUGGAAUUGCUAUUAAAAAAAUACUUGUUAAAGCUAAAUUUGACAUGUUCUAAUAAUAAAAAACAUUAAAACAACAAAAUAAUUUUUCUUUCGAC